GAGCGGAGCUUGACCAGCGACACCGCGUGAGGGAGUAAGGCCUUCGGGUUGUAAACCUCUUUUCUUGGGGAAGAAUUCUGACGGUACCCAAGGAAUAAGCCUCGGCCAACUACGUGCCAGCAGCCGCGGUAAUACGUAGGAGGCGAACGUUAUUCGGAUUUACUGGGCGUAAAGGGAGCGUAGGCGGUUCCUUAAGUCAGAUGUGAAAUCUUCUGAUUCAAUCAGAAGGCGUCAUUUGAUACUGAGGGACUUGAGAAUAGCAGAGGGAAAUGGAAUCCCCAGUGUAGCGGUGAAAUGCGUAGAUAUUGGGGAGAACACCAGUGGCGAAGGCGAUUUUCCAGGUUAUUUCUGACGCUGAGGCUCGAAAGCGUGGGGAGCGAAGCGGAUUAGAUACCCGCGUAGUCCACGCCCUAAACGGUGGACACUAGACAUGGGAGGUAUCGACCCUUUCUGUGUCGAAGCUAACGCCUUAAGUGUCCCGCCUGGGGAG
This 490-nucleotide ribosomal RNA is filed under the name uncultured bacterium. RNAcentral describes it as "bacterial SSU rRNA". It matches the Rfam family "Bacterial small subunit ribosomal RNA", at positions 373 to 880 of the family's 1533-position model. The record is from RNAcentral.